Molecule: non-coding RNA, 73 nt
Organism: Gymnopus androsaceus JB14
Lineage: Eukaryota; Fungi; Basidiomycota; Agaricomycetes; Agaricales; Omphalotaceae
Source: the annotation of a GenBank genome assembly
UCCCUCUUAGCUCAGCUGGUAGAGCGCGUCACUAGUAAUGACGAGGUCAGUCGUUCAAGUCGGCUAGAGGGAA